Molecule: ribosomal RNA, 492 nt
Filed under: uncultured bacterium
Lineage: Bacteria
Description: partial 16S ribosomal RNA
Rfam family: Bacterial small subunit ribosomal RNA
Source: RNAcentral
AGUGAACGCUGGCGGUAGGCCUAACACAUGCAAGUCGAACGGCAGCACAGUAAGAGCUUGCUCUUACGGGUGGCGAGUGGCGGACGGGUGAGGAAUACAUCGGAAUCUACUUUUUCGUGGGGGAUAACGUAGGGAAACUUACGCUAAUACCGCAUACGACCUACGGGUGAAAGCAGGGGAUCUUCGGACCUUGCGCGAUUGAAUGAGCCGAUGUCGGAUUAGCUAGUUGGCGGGGUAAAGGCCCACCAAGGCGACGAUCCGUAGCUGGUCUGAGAGGAUGAUCGGCCACACGGGAACUGAGACAGGGUCCAGACUCCUACGGGAGGCAGCAGUGGGGAAUAUUGGACAAUGGGCGCAAGCCUGAUACAGCCAUACCGCGUGGGUGAAGAAGGCGUUCGGGUUGUAAAGCCCUUUUGUUGGGAAAGAAAAGCAGCAGGUUAAUACCCCGCUGUUCUGACGGUACCCAAAGAAUAAGCACCGGCUAACUUCGUG